UGGAAAUGGGGGCAGCCUAUAAUGCAAGUCGAGCGAAUGGAUUAAGAGCUUGCUCUUAUGAAGUUAGCGGCGGACGGGUGAGUAACACGUGGGUAACCUGCCCAUAAGACUGGGAUAACUCCGGGAAACCGGGGCUAAUACCGGAUAACAUUUUGAACCGCAUGGUUCGAAAUUGAAAGGCGGCUUCGGCUGUCACUUAUGGAUGGACCCGCGUCGCAUUAGCUAGUUGGUGAGGUAACGGCUCACCAAGGCAACGAUGCGUAGCCGACCUGAGAGGGUGAUCGGCCACACUGGGACUGAGACACGGCCCAGACUCCUACGGGAGGCAGCAGUAGGGAAUCUUCCGCAAUGGACGAAAGUCUGACGGAGCAACGCCGCGUGAGUGAUGAAGGCUUUCGGGUCGUAAAACUCUGUUGUUAGGGAAGAACAAGUGCUAGUUGAAUAAGCUGGCACCUUGACGGUACCUAACCAGAAAGCCACGGCUAACUACGUGCCAGCAGCCGCGGUAAUACGUAGGUGGCAAGCGUUAUCCGGAAUUAUUGGGCGUAAAGCGCGCGCAGGUGGUUUCUUAAGUCUGAUGUGAAAGCCCACGGCUCAACCGUGGAGGGUCAUUGGAAACUGGGAGACUUGAGUGCAGAAGAGGAAAGUGGAAUUCCAUGUGUAGCGGUGAAAU
Molecule: ribosomal RNA, 673 nt
Filed under: Bacillus anthracis (anthrax bacterium)
Lineage: Bacteria; Bacillati; Bacillota; Bacilli; Caryophanales; Bacillaceae
Description: bacterial SSU rRNA
Rfam family: Bacterial small subunit ribosomal RNA
Source: RNAcentral